AUUGAACGCUGGCGGCAUGCUUUACACAUGCAAGUCGAACGGUAACAGGCCGCAAGGUGCUGUCGAGUGGCGAACGGGUGCGUAAUGCAUCGGAACGUGCCCAGUCGUGGGGGGUAACUACUCGAAAGAGUAGCUAAUACCGCAUACGAUCUAUGGAUGAAAGCGGGGGACCGUAAGGCCUCGCGCGAUUGUAGCGGCCGAUGUCAGAUUAGGUAGUUGGUGGGGUAAAGGCUCACCAAGCCAACGAUCUGUAGCUGGACUGAGAGGACGACCAGCCACACUGGGACUGAGACACGGCCCAGACUCCUACGGGAGGCAGCAGUGGGGAAUUUUGGACAAUGGGCGCAAGCCUGAUCCAGCAAUGCCGCGUGCAGGAAGAAGGCCUUCGGGUUGUAAACUGCUUUUGUACGGAACGAAACGGCUCUGGUUAAUACCCGGGGCUAAUGACGGUACCGUAAGAAUAAGCACCGGCUAACUACGUG
Molecule: ribosomal RNA, 482 nt
Filed under: uncultured bacterium
Lineage: Bacteria
Description: partial 16S ribosomal RNA
Rfam family: Bacterial small subunit ribosomal RNA
Source: RNAcentral